Molecule: small RNA, 565 nt
Filed under: Penicillium sp. 0911MAR8H1
Lineage: Eukaryota; Fungi; Ascomycota; Eurotiomycetes; Eurotiales; Aspergillaceae
Description: eukaryotic LSU rRNA
Rfam family: 5.8S ribosomal RNA (bases 229-381)
Source: RNAcentral
AAGUAAAAGUCGUAACAAGGUUUCCGUAGGUGAACCUGCGGAAGGAUCAUUACCGAGUGAGGGCCCUCUGGGUCCAACCUCCCACCCGUGUUUAUUUUACCUUGUUGCUUCGGCGGGCCCGCCUUAACUGGCCGCCGGGGGGCUCACGCCCCCGGGCCCGCGCCCGCCGAAGACACCCUCGAACUCUGUCUGAAGAUUGUAGUCUGAGUGAAAAUAUAAAUUAUUUAAAACUUUCAACAACGGAUCUCUUGGUUCCGGCAUCGAUGAAGAACGCAGCGAAAUGCGAUACGUAAUGUGAAUUGCAAAUUCAGUGAAUCAUCGAGUCUUUGAACGCACAUUGCGCCCCCUGGUAUUCCGGGGGGCAUGCCUGUCCGAGCGUCAUUGCUGCCCUCAAGCACGGCUUGUGUGUUGGGCCCCGUCCUCCGAUCCCGGGGGACGGGCCCGAAAGGCAGCGGCGGCACCGCGUCCGGUCCUCGAGCGUAUGGGGCUUUGUCACCCGCUCUGUAGGCCCGGCCGGCGCUUGCCGAUCAACCCAAAUUUUUAUCCAGGUUGACCUCGGAUCAGG